CAAAAGAGUAUAAGAAAGAAUUGGAGGAAAUGAAGAAGAGAAUACAAAAGAGACCGUAUCUCUUCGAACAAGUUACCAAGGUAAAACUCAACUACCACUCAUUUUCUUUUCUGCCUGGAUGAAUGUGAACUUAGAAGUUAAGAAACAAUUUUAGUAUGUGGGCACUGAUCAUUUCCUUAAGAUUCAGAUAUUCUAAAUCGAAACACCUUUUAUUACUACAUGUUUCCCCCUUAAAUAUAGGUCUUCAUGGGUUCAGAUGCUCACAAACACCCCACAAGGCUCUUUCUAGAUUAACUUUGGCUUUCAGGUGAAAGAAUCAUUUGAAGAUAUUCUCUAGACUUAAGGGGAAGGUGAACUCAGUUGCGACUUCCCUAAGCAAGUCUGUUCAGCCCACAAAGGAAACCAUCCCAGGCAGUUUGAGAUCAUGUUCUUUAUAUCCCUUUUCCCUUAGUUUCAGACAAUAGUUGGGAUUCCACAGUGGCUGGUUCCAGUUUCUGAGUAUUACCUCCAUCCUGUAGAUAUUGCAGGAUCUAGGCAUGUAGGGGUCCAGGUCCACCCCCUUCCCCAAGCACACCUGUAUGCCACCAACACACUGGACUGACUGGGUUUACUUAGCAACUCACAUUGUUCAAAAUCUCAAGCCGACCUUUCCUCUUUAUGUUAAUUUGUGUCAAGCAGGUUUAGUCUUUAGAUCCCUACAGAUUUUUUCAACACACUAGGAAAAACAGAGUACUACAAUUUUGCUCUUGAAUAAUACUUAAACUAAAACAAGCAAAAAUUAACAUUCACAUACAGAUUAUCAUCCUUAUGUUAAGAAUGUUCUCAAUGCACCUUACUUUCUUCUGUCUUGGUGUUCCUAAGAAUGGUUUGGUUGCUUUUAAAUCAUAAACUGCUGGGUGCAGUGGUGCCCAUCUAUAACCCCAGCAACUCAGUAGGCUGAAGCAGAAUCAAAAGUUCAAAGCCAGUCUCAGCAAUUUAAUGAGGCCCUGAGUUAGCCAGACCCUGUUUCAAAAUUUUAAAAAAAGGACUGGAGAUGUUACUUAGUGGUAAAGCGCCCCAGGUUUAAUCCCCAGUGCCAAAAAAUAAGAAAAUGAAAAUAAAUAAAGAACUUUAAAUCUUAAAAUGGUUUUAGUCCCCCAUUUUUCAUCUGAGUUUCACUUCAUCUCCCACAAAUUCAAGUCCUCGUUUUUAAAGGUGUGGUUCCCAAAUUAAUAGUUGGCUUCUCCUGAAGACAUAGAGUUGCUAGAGUUGCAGGCCUCUUCUGCAAUUGGAACCGGAUUUGAAAAAUGAUCUGUUUCAAACUAAAGAAAUCUAAAUCUAAUAUCAGUGGUUAUAUUUUAUUCACAGCCACACUAUGCCUAAUUCAAAUGUGUUGUAUGGCCAUCCCAGAUUUUGAUUUCAAAAUAAGUGGUGGUUUUAAAGGUUCCUCCCAGUGAUGUUGCUGAAGAUAACAAUUUAGAGCUGCAGAGUGACAGCAGCAUCUCAGAUUAACAUUAUGCAUUUUAACAAGAUCCUCUGGGGCUCAAUUGUACAUUAAAGCUUGAAAAACAUUAAUUUUUAUGCAAAUCUGUCAAGCACUAAGUUUUGGAGGUGGUGGUAGGGACAUUAUUGUAGAGAUACUGAUUAAGAUGGCAAUUCACAAGAUAGCUACAGCAGAUUAAUUUCUAUCCUUCAGGACCUUGCCAGGAAAGAAGCAGAACAACGGUAUCGAGACACCCUGAAGCAGGCUGGACUGGAGGAAGACUUUGUGAGGAACAAGAGUCGAGGCACCCGGGCUGUACAAUGGAAGGAGGAGUCUAAUGCCAAGGAUUCCCCCAGGUAAAGUGAAAGGGAGAAAAGGAUAGCAUCUCCAUUAUUCUCAAUUCUGUUUCUCAAGUUCCAGUAUAUCCUCCACUAAUUCCUGUUUUCCCCUUAGACACGGUGCUUUAUAGCCAGGCAUGGUGGCACAUGUGUGCAAUCCAUAAAAUUUGGGAUUAUUAAGGCAGGAGGAUUGCAAGUUCAAGGCCAGCCUCAGCCAUUUAGUAAAACCCUGCCUCAGAAUAUAAAAAGGAGUAGAAAUGUAGCUCAGUGGUAAAGUACCCUGGGUUCAAUUCCCAAAAACAAAACAGAAAUGUCUCUUUAUAGCCAAGCAUCAUAUGCCAGUAAUCCCAGUGACUCAGGAAGCUAAGGUAGGAGAAUCACCAGUUUGAGACCAAUCUGUGUAACUUAGUGAGAUCUAAGGGGCUGGAGUUGUGGCUCAGUGGUAGAGUGCUUGCCUGGCAUAUGUGAGGCCCUGGGUUCGAUCCUCAGUACCACAUAUAAAUAAAUAAAAGACCCACUGACAACUAAAAAAUAUUGGAAAAAAAAAAAAAAAGAGAGCUAGAAAUGUAGCUCAGUGGACUGCCCUUACUAAGUUCAAUCCCUCAUACAGGGGGGAAAAAAAAGUUGAGGCCAUUCUUAAACUUUAUACAUUGCUUCCUUUAAUUUAAAAUAUUCUGUUUCAUAAUGUUUUCAUUUACUUUGCAGCAUCUAUGAAACUACAAACCUCAGCAUCAAUGAUCCACAGAAGGAUUUAGAAGGAUCUCUAGAAUAGCUUCUAAGCCCCCAAAAAGAAUCGGAGGAGCUGUAUUAUGAAUCAUCAGACCAUCUGAAAUCACUGGCCUAAUCAGCUCAUGUAACAUUACUGCUUUUGCGCAUCAAAUAUCUCACUAGGGGUUGAGUCAAGGCAGGCAAAACUUGAGUUUGAAUAUUGCUACUAUUAGAGAAUAAGGAAAAGAAGAGUGACAGAUAACAGGAAUGUUUUUAAAGAAUCAAAUUAGAGAAGCUCAGGAUAGAAGGAUCAUAACCCAGACCUAAGGGGUCUUACUUUGUACCUGACAUUUAAGAGCAACUAUAGAAAAAAGAACACAAGCCAAAAUGCUAAUCAGGGCUGUUCAGGAAACAUGAGUGAGUUAAAUGGGGUAGAUAUAAGAUAGGAGAUAGUAAGGAACCAGAGAGCAUAAAUCCUGUUAGAAUACAGGCCCAGAAUUACAACAUCAGCUAUUGUCAUCAGAAGCCAGAAAUGU
Molecule: long non-coding RNA, 3044 nt
Filed under: Marmota monax (woodchuck)
Lineage: Eukaryota; Metazoa; Chordata; Mammalia; Rodentia; Sciuridae
Source: RNAcentral